Molecule: transfer RNA, 73 nt
Filed under: Camelus bactrianus (Bactrian camel)
Lineage: Eukaryota; Metazoa; Chordata; Mammalia; Artiodactyla; Camelidae
Also listed under: 1 other name
Rfam family: tRNA
About the family: Transfer RNA (tRNA) molecules are approximately 80 nucleotides in length.
Source: Rfam by way of RNAcentral
GAGGGUAUAGCUCAAGUGGUAGAGUACAUGUUCGGCAUGUAGGAGGUCCUGGGUUCAAUCCCCAGUACCUCCU